RNAcentral lists this ribosomal RNA (465 nucleotides) under uncultured bacterium. Its description in RNAcentral is "partial 16S ribosomal RNA". It matches the Rfam family "Bacterial small subunit ribosomal RNA", at positions 28 to 507 of the family's 1533-position model. The record is from RNAcentral.
GACGAACGCUGGCGGCGUGCUUAACACAUGCAAGUCGAACGGUGAACUCCGCUUGCGGGGGAAUCAGUGGCGAACGGGUGAGUAACACGUGGGCAACCUGCCCUCAGCUCUGGGAUAACUCCAAGAAAUUGGGGCUAAUACCGGAUAUGACCGCUGACCGCAUGGUCUGGUGGUGGAAAGAUUUAUCGGCUGGGGAUGGGCCCGCGGCCUAUCAGCUUGUUGGUGGGGUAGUGGCCUACCAAGGCGACGACGGGUAGCCGGCCUGAGAGGGUGACCGGCCACACUGGGACUGAGACACGGCCCAGACUCCUACGGGAGGCAGCAGUGGGGAAUAUUGCGCAAUGGGCGAAAGCCUGACGCAGCGACGCCGCGUGGGGGAUGACGGCCUUCGGGUUGUAAACCUCUUUCAGCAGGGACGAAGCGAAAGUGACGGUACCUGCAGAAGAAGCACCGGCCAACUACGUG